This 429-nucleotide ribosomal RNA is filed under the name uncultured Pseudomonadota bacterium. RNAcentral describes it as "bacterial SSU rRNA". It matches the Rfam family "Bacterial small subunit ribosomal RNA", at positions 31 to 488 of the family's 1533-position model. Lineage: Bacteria; Pseudomonadati; Pseudomonadota. The record is from RNAcentral.
GAACGCUAGCGGUGCGCCUAAUACAUGCAAGUCGAGCGAGAAUUUUUUAUAGCUUGCUAUAAAAAAGGAAAGCGGCGAACGGGUGAGUAACACGUUGGCAUCUGCCCUUUGGUCAGGGAUAGCCAAUCGAAAGAUUGAUUAAUACCGGAUGGUCUCGAGAGAGUAAAAAUUUAUUGCCAAAGGAGGAGCCUGCGUCCUAUCAGCUAGUUGGUGAGGUAAAAGCUCACCAAGGCUAUGACGGGUAAUUGAUCUGAGAGGAUGAUCAGUCACAAUGGAACUGAGACACGGUCCAUACUCCUACGGGAGGCAGCAGUAGGGAAUCUUCCACAAUGGACGAAAGUCUGAUGGAGCGACACCGCGUGAAGGAUGAAGGUCUAACGAUUGUAAACUUCUUUUCUGGGGGAGCAUAAUGAGAGUACCCCAGGAAUA